GUUCACACGCAGGUGUGGGGGUCCACUCGGCUCUUAUUCCUACUUUUGUGCAUUUUGAGGGUCUGUCUUCAGUUGGUUUAUAUCACAUCACUCCAAAAUUGCAGGACAUCAUGUUCUUUGUACUCUUGGAUAUCGCGAUCAGGCACAUAACCAUUUUCUAUCGGAGGUACUGUACAUUUAAUCUCU
This is a long non-coding RNA of Sander lucioperca (pikeperch), 186 nucleotides long. RefSeq lists it as uncharacterized. The record is from RefSeq and is a predicted model, not a curated record. The transcript has 4 exons. NCBI's taxonomy places the organism in Eukaryota, Metazoa, Chordata, Actinopteri, Perciformes, Percidae.